CAGGAUUCUCUCAGUAACGGCGAGUGAACAGAGAUUAGCCCAGCACCGAAGCCUAUUCGCGUUUGUGAACAAGGCAAUGUGGUGUUCAGGCGUUUGUCUGAGUCCGUCGGUUCAUUCUAAGUCCAGCAUAGAUUAUGGCUCUGGAUGUUGCCCAUAGCGGGUGAAAGGCCCGUAAGAAUGAAUCUUCAAGCAUGUUGACGGUCUCAGUUGCAUUCGCUUUGGAGUCGGAUAGUUUGAGAAUGCUGUCCAAAGUGGGUGGUAAACUCCAUCCAAGGCUAAAUACCUGCACGAAUCCGAUAGUAGACAAGUACCGUGAGGGAAAGUUGAAAAGUACUCUGAAGAGAGAGUAAAUAGUACGUGAAGCCGCAUGCAUGGAAGCUGGUGGAGUCAAGCUGCAUGCUCUUGGUAAUCAAUCAGUGAUUGUUGUGUGUAUUAUCCGGAUGGGUGGCUGGUUGCCUUGUAAAUUAGGCUGACGGAUUUAUCCGUUCCGCGAGCGUACUGGUUAGUGCGUGUGGGCUGGUCACUUUAAUCUUGGUGUCACUGGUGUUCUUACCUUGUAGCAGACAUCACGAUCGGUAUUGCUGUUGGCGUAUGGUAGGCAAACCAUCAGGUUAUGGGUCUCGAAUUCAUGCCUGGUGGGACGGCAGGUUGCCUGUUUAUUCACCUCGUGUGGGUAUAUGGGUUUUUCUUGGUUGCGGCCAGCCGUCUACCAUUUGAAGCAUUCUGCCAUACAGUAUACCGUUAAUUAUGUUGUGCCGGUCUUUUGCGGUCUGAACUCUGGCUGAUACGGUCCUGUUUCUGCAUUAGUGGUGCGGGGCUGUUGUCGGCUUGUGGCUCGGGCUUGCGAUUGGCUGGUACGUGAAUCG
This 866-nucleotide ribosomal RNA is filed under the name Lamellodiscus spari. RNAcentral describes it as "partial 28S ribosomal RNA". It matches the Rfam family "Eukaryotic large subunit ribosomal RNA", at positions 70 to 616 of the family's 3401-position model. The record is from RNAcentral. Lineage: Eukaryota; Metazoa; Platyhelminthes; Monogenea; Dactylogyridea; Diplectanidae.